This 830-nucleotide ribosomal RNA is filed under the name uncultured bacterium. RNAcentral's name for it is "bacterial SSU rRNA". It matches the Rfam family "Bacterial small subunit ribosomal RNA", at positions 55 to 879 of the family's 1533-position model. The record is from RNAcentral.
AUGCAAGUCGAGGGGCAGCAUAAUGGAUAGCAAUAUCUAUGGUGGCGACCGGCGCACGGGUGCGUAACGCGUAUGCAACCUACCUUUAACAGGGGGAUAACACUGAGAAAUUGGUACUAAUACCCCAUAAUAUCAUAGAAGGCAUCUUUUAUGGUUGAAAAUUCCGAUGGUUAGAGAUGGGCAUGCGUUGUAUUAGCUAGUUGGUGGGGUAACGGCUCACCAAGGCGACGAUACAUAGGGGGACUGAGAGGUUAACCCCCCACACUGGUACUGAGACACGGACCAGACUCCUACGGGAGGCAGCAGUGAGGAAUAUUGGUCAAUGGACGCAAGUCUGAACCAGCCAUGCCGUGUGCAGGAUGACGGCUCUAUGAGUUGUAAACUGCUUUUGUACGAGGGUAAACGCAGAUACGUGUAUCUGUCUGAAAGUAUCGUACGAAUAAGGAUCGGCUAACUCCGUGCCAGCAGCCGCGGUAAUACGGAGGAUUCAAGCGUUAUCCGGAUUUAUUGGGUUUAAAGGGUGCGUAGGCGGUUUGAUAAGUUAGAGGUGAAAUUUCGGGGCUCAACCCUGAACGUGCCUCUAAUACUGUUGAGCUAGAGAGUAGUUGCGGUAGGCGGAAUGUAUGGUGUAGCGGUGAAAUGCUUAGAGAUCAUACAGAACACCGAUUGCGAAGGCAGCUUACCAAACUAUAUCUGACGUUGAGGCACGAAAGCGUGGGGAGCAAACAGGAUUAGAUACCCUGGUAGUCCACGCAGUAAACGAUGAUAACUCGUUGUCGGCGAUACACAGUCGGUGACUAAGCGAAAGCGAUAAGUUAUCCACCUGGGGA